Molecule: unclassified non-coding RNA, 918 nt
Filed under: Hevea brasiliensis (rubber tree)
Lineage: Eukaryota; Viridiplantae; Streptophyta; Magnoliopsida; Malpighiales; Euphorbiaceae
Source: RNAcentral
CAAACUGAGCGAUCUUUCUCUCUUACGAGAUCCAAGCCAGAAUUCUGUUCCAUUCUAAGGCGUAAACGGAAAUUAUAAAGAACUACGCCUUAUCAUGUGUCACUUUACCGCCGAAUUAAAAGCCCCUUUGAAUCAAUUCCAAUGCGAAAUUUUGAGGAGAAGGACUACGUAGCAUGGCUACAAUUUUGUAGCUCUUAAUUGGAUAAAUUACGAUAAAACUCAAAUCUCUCCGCCAGUAAGUUUUGUUGAAUGUCCACUUGAAAAGGAUCAUUUUGCAAGGAUGAGUAAUGCAUCAAACUUCAAGAUUUUGAAGGCCAUUUGACUCCUCUCCACGAGCAGCAUGAUUGAACAAAUCUCCAACAGGACACGGGCACCCCACCUUAUCACAUGGUGUAGGCAUCGUCCUUGAGGAUAUCUAUGAACAGGGGAAAAAAAACUGCAGAAUCUAAAGAAAUAUUUGGUAGUGCACAUAAUACACAGAAUGUCCAUGAGACCAAGAGAUCCUAUGCAAGAUUGUAGCAGAACAUCAAAGACCGUAACCCAUGCACAGAGGACACAAGUGAUCACCAGCGAAAAGACAUGGAUUAGCAUACUGAAAGAUGGAUUCAGAUUCCAAUAAAUUGCAAUGUUGAUCUAUCUUGUCAAUUUUACAAAUUCAGAUUCCUACUCACAAGUAGGAGCUUGUAUGCGCCAUAAAUUUUGUUUUUCCUAAUCAAGUACAUGAAUUGGUGGGAGGAUAAAUCACACCUAAAAUAUUUAAUUUAGCAUGCACCAUUUCCUGACACAGAAAAGUAUCCUCUUGGUUGCAGAAGCCCAAAUCAGGGAGUGACAAAGCAAAAUGGAGCAUGAAUAUGAGUUUGUUUUAAACAACACAGUAUAAAGUAUACUCACCCUCCUAGUCCUGCAUCAGGAAAAGAG